AUUGAACGCUGGCGGCAUGCCUUACACAUGCAAGUCGAACGGCAGCAUGGAAGAGCUUGCUCUUCUGAUGGCGAGUGGCGAACGGGUGAGUAAAGCAUCGGAACGUACCGUGUCGUGGGGGAUAACGUAGCGAAAGGUACGCUAAUACCGCAUACGCACUGAGGUGGAAAGCAGGGGAUCGCAAGACCUUGCGCUAUAAGAGCGGCCGAUGUCAGAUUAGCUAGUUGGUAGGGUAAAGGCCUACCAAGGCGACGAUCUGUAGCGGGUCUGAGAGGAUGAUCCGCCACACUGGGACUGAGACACGGCCCAGACUCCUACGGGAGGCAGCAGUGGGGAAUUUUGGACAAUGGGGGAAACCCUGAUCCAGCCAUGCCGCGUGAGUGAAGAAGGCCUUCGGGUUGUAAAGCUCUUUCGGCUGGGAAGAAAUCGCACAGGCUAAUACUCUGUGUGGAUGACGGUACCAGCAUAAGAAGCACCGGCUAACUACGUGCCAGCCGCCGCAGUAA
RNAcentral lists this ribosomal RNA (506 nucleotides) under uncultured bacterium. RNAcentral's name for it is "partial 16S ribosomal RNA". It matches the Rfam family "Bacterial small subunit ribosomal RNA", at positions 30 to 523 of the family's 1533-position model. The record is from RNAcentral.